This 492-nucleotide ribosomal RNA is filed under the name uncultured bacterium. Its description in RNAcentral is "partial 16S ribosomal RNA". It matches the Rfam family "Bacterial small subunit ribosomal RNA", at positions 29 to 507 of the family's 1533-position model. The record is from RNAcentral.
AGUGAACGCUGGCGGUAGGCCUAACACAUGCAAGUCGAACGGCAGCACAGUAAGAGCUUGCUCUUACGGGUGGCGAGUGGCGGACGGGUGAGGAAUACAUCGGAAUCUACUUUUUCGUGGGGGAUAACGUAGGGAAACUUACGCUAAUACCGCAUACGACCUACGGGUGAAAGCAGGGGAUCUUCGGACCUUGCGCGAUUGAAUGAGCCGAUGUCGGAUUAGCUAGUUGGCGGGGUAAAGGCCCACCAAGGCGACGAUCCGUAGCUGGUCUGAGAGGAUGAUCAGCCACACUGGGACUGAGAGACGGUCCAGACUCCUACGGGAGGCAGCAGUGGGGAAUGUUGGACAAUGGGCGCAAGCCUGAUCAAGCCAGACCGCGUGGGUGAAGAAGGCCUUCGGGUUGUAAAGCCCUUUUGUUGGGAAAGAAGAGUAGCGGGUUAAUGCCGCGCUGUUCUGACGGUACCCAAAGAAUAAGCACCGGCUAACUACGUG